CCUACGGGAGGCAGCAGUAAGGAAUAUUGGUCAAUGGGCGCAAGCCUGAACCAGCCAUGCCGCGUGCAGGAAGACGGCCCUACGGGUUGUAAACUGCUUUUGUACCGGAAUAAACCCUUUUACGUGUAAGAGGCUGAAUGUACGGUAAGAAUAAGGAUCGGCUAACUCCGUGCCAGCAGCCGCGGUAAUACGGAGGAUCCAAGCGUUAUCCGGAUUUAUUGGGUUUAAAGGGUGCGUAGGUGGCUUUUUAAGUCAGGGGUGAAAGACGGUAGCUUAACUAUCGCAGUGCCUUUGAUGCUGAAGAGCUUGAAUGAACUAGAGGUAGGCGGAAUGUGACAAGUAGCGGUGAAAUGCAUAGAUAUGUCACAGAACACCAAUUGCGAAGGCAGCUUACUAUGGUUUUAUUGUACACUGAGGCACGAAAGCGUGGGGAUCAAACAGGAUUAGAUACCCUGGUAGUCCACGACCUAACCGAUAGAUACUACGUAUGUUGGUCGAUAUACGUCGUAGCGUCGUAGACGAAGACGUAAGUAUUCUACCGUCGGGAGGUACGCCGCCGACGGGUAGGAACGUAACGUAAAGGUAAAGUUAGUUACGGUCGUUGAGACGUUGCCGACGGACGACCGACGAGGGAGGAGG
This 639-nucleotide ribosomal RNA is filed under the name uncultured bacterium. Its description in RNAcentral is "bacterial SSU rRNA". The stretch from base 1 to 540 matches the Rfam family "Bacterial small subunit ribosomal RNA", at positions 338 to 873 of the family's 1533-position model. The record is from RNAcentral.